GGCGCCAGCGCUGUGUGCCUUUGCGAGGGCGGAGCUGCGGUCUCCUCAGCACAGACCCGGAGAGCAUUGCGAGGGCGGAGCUGAGUUCUCCUCUGCAGACUUCGGAGAUACAGCGAAGGCAGAGCAAUGUUCUCCUCAGCAGAGACGCGGGCGGGCGGGCCGGUGGCACCGCGAGGGCGGAGCUGCGUUCUGCUCUGCACAGACCUUGGGGGCACUGCCUCGCUUUGGGACAACUCAGGGCCGCAUGGACAGUGAAUAAAAUCCUUCCUGUUUGCAGCCCUGUUUGUGGUUGGUGGCAGCGAUGGACACUGCAGCCAGCCAGAGCGUAGAAAGGCGUCGGGUGAAAGAAGAUGGCCACGGAGACAGACAGCAGCGUGGUCAGAGUGGUAGGAGCCGGCCAUCAGCGAGAGCUGCUCCAUGCCUGGCUGCUGGGUCCUAGAGCCUGUGGCCCACUGGCUUGCCUCACUGUGGUUGGUGGUGGUGGUGACAGAGACUGCAGGACGACCAGAGUGGCUUUUCUGGUUUUGCCCGCCCAGCUGCUCUGUGCCAGGAGGAGGAGGAGACACCUAGAGCCUGCGACACCAUGGCUCGCCUCGCUGCGGGUGGGCGGCAGUGACAGAGACUGCGGUGCGCCAGAGCGGUAGGAGAGCGGCUGCGCUAGGAGGGCAGGCGGCUGCAGCCAGGGUUGGGGGUCAGGCUUAGAGCGAUGGACGGGCUGCAGCAGUGGCCAGGUGGUAGGAGCCUUGUAGGGAGGGCUGGUGCCUUGGCAAUGGGCCUGGCUUUGCCCUGCGCCUGCCGUGGAUCUGGCCCUGUACUGCCCUGCCUUGCCCUGUACCUGCCCUACUGUUACUUGGACUCUCGGCCCUGUCCUGCUCUGGUCCCAUCCUGACCCUGUCUUGGCCCUGUGCUACCCUGUCCCUGCCCUGGUCUUGCCCUGGCACUGGCCCUGCCCUGAACCUGCACUGGCCUGACCUUGGCUCUGGCCCUGGCUCUGGCCCUGCCUCUUGUCCUGACCCUGGUCGUGUCAUGGCACUGGCCCUGCCAAUGGUCAUGGUCCUGCUCCUGUUCUGGCCCUGACCUGGCCUUGGACAUGUCCUGGCCCUGCUUUGGCCCAUCCCUGCCCUGGCUCCACCAUGGGCCUGCCUGUUCUGCCCUCUCCUGGCACUGACCUUGCCCUGUCAUGGCCCAGUGGUGCCAUUGCCCUGCCUUACCCUGCGCUGGUUGUGACUUGGCCCCGCUUGGUGCUGGCCACUCCCUGGACCUGCCCUGGACCUGCCCUGACCCUGCCCUUGGCUUUUGCCCUGCCCUCACUAUGGCCUGGCCCUGGCCCUAGCCCUGGUCCUGCCAUAUCCCUGGCCCUGCCCUUAUCCAGGCCCUGCCCCUGCUGCUGCCCUGGCCCUGGCCUGGAACCUGGUCCUGUCAAGAACCUGCCCUGACUCUGCCAUGGCCCUGGCCCUGCUCUGCCUUGUUCCUGGCCCUGACCCAGACCCAGACCCUUUCCUGGCUCUGCACUGGACUUUCCCUGGCCCUGAGCUGGCAAUGGUCUGCCCCUGGUCUUGCCAUCACCCUGCCCUGCUGCGCUCUGGAUGUGUCAUCACCCUGCCCUGGCCCUACUCUGCCUUUGACCCUGCCCUGGCCUUACCUUGGCCCUCACCCUAGCCUGCGCUAGACCCUGCUCUGGAGCUGACCCUAGCACAGACCUGGCCCUGAUCCUGGCCGUGGUCUUUGUCCUGCCAUAGCCCUGGCCCUGAAGUGGACUUGGAGGUGUCCUGGCCCCGGCAUAACAUGGCUCUGCAUUGGCCUGUCCCUGCCCUGCCGCUACCAUCUCCUUGCCCUGCUCUGUCCUGUCCCAGUACUGACCCGGCCGUGCUAUUUCCCUUCCCUACCCUGCCUUGGCUGUGCCCUGGCUCGGUUCUGGCCCUGGCCCUGGCCCUGCCCUGGACAUGCUCUGACACUGCCUCAGCCUCGGCACUAGCCUGGCUCUUUCUUGGCAUCAGCUCUGCUCUCUCUGUGGACCGGCUCUUGUCCUGUCCUGCACUGGCCAUACCAUGCCCUGCCCUGCCCUGACUCAGUCCCGGGUCAGCCCUGGCCCAACCUUGGCCUUGGCAUUGCCCCUGGUCAUGCCAUAUUUCUUGCCCUGUCCCUACCCUGGCCUUGGCCCUGACCCUUACCUUGCUGUGGCCCUGCCCUUGCCCUAACGCAGCCCCUGGCCCUGUCAUGGCCCUGCCCUGGACCUGUCCUGGCCCUGGCCCUUCCCUGCUUGAGACCUUGCCCUGGUUCUCCCCUGGCCCUGACCCUGAAAUGCCUGGCCCUACCCUGGCCUUGCACUGCUCUGGCCCUUGCCCUGACUCUGGUCCUGUCACUGGCCUAGCCCCAGCCCUGUUGCUGGUCUUACCAUGGCCCAGACCCUGCCUUGGCCCUGCCCUGACACUGUCCUGGACCCUGGCUGUGCCAAGAACCUGCACUGUCCUUGCCAUUGUUUUGCUCCUGCCCUGAACCUGGUCUUCCCCAGGCCGUGGCCAUGGCCCUGGCCCUGGCCCUGCCCAGGU
Homo sapiens (human) is the source of this 2549-nucleotide long non-coding RNA. RefSeq lists it as uncharacterized. The record is from RefSeq and is a predicted model, not a curated record. The transcript has 3 exons. Lineage: Eukaryota; Metazoa; Chordata; Mammalia; Primates; Hominidae.